This is a long non-coding RNA of Triticum dicoccoides, 865 nucleotides long. RefSeq lists it as uncharacterized. The record is from RefSeq and is a predicted model, not a curated record. Lineage: Eukaryota; Viridiplantae; Streptophyta; Magnoliopsida; Poales; Poaceae. The transcript has 3 exons.
UCGGAAUCCGGGCUUUCUGGUUACGACGUCUAGCUGCCGCAGUAAAUGCGGUUAGGUGGUAGGGAGAGGGCGGCUAUUUUCCACCUCCCGUCCCUGGAUCUUGGAGGCUUCAGAGCGGCGAAGAACUGCAGAUAGAUCGAUCUUGCGACAGAGCGACGGACAAAUCCGGCCAGCAAUGGAGUUCUGGAUGCAACCCAUAAGCAGCAGAAUCUGCUAGAGGAGGUCAACGAGAACAACGUCCCCAUGAGUCCUCUUCAGUACCCUGUGGCGACGCCGCCGGCUGUGGAGCUUCCUACCACGGCGGCGUCGAGCGCCGACGCCCAGAUUUCUGCUGCUCGAAACGCUCAAGAGACCCGAAAACUCCUGGCUGGACUAAAAGACGAAAAGGAUGCAAGGGAUGUGCUGCUGAAAUAAAGCCAUUUACAGAGGAAAGUGAUGGGCUAGGACUUGAAGACAGGCUAGCUGAUAACGGAGAUGUCCUGAAGUAGGUUCAGUCUGAAGGCGCGGUGGUCGCUGCAGUAGCUGGCACACAUGGUGUUGUAAGCAAUGACGACAAUAAUUCAGCAAACGAGUCAGGGAACAUGCUUGCAGGGUUAUUGCGGCCAGCUAAGCGGAAGGAGAUGGGGAGGCCUACGACCAGCAGAGAGAACGCGCCAUAUGAAGGUCUGAGUAAGCAAACAAGAUUCUGCAGCAUAUGUCGGCGGCAGGGAAACGGACAACUUGCCCUGAUUGUGGCAAUGUUCCGAAGCAGCCCCGGAAGCCAUCAGGAUGCAAAAAUUGUGGCGUCUACGGACUCCGCCGGAACAGCUGAGACUGAAAAAUAGUUGAGAACUGAGAAAUACUUGACGGGCAUCCUGUAGUUCGC